GGAUUGGGUGUUGUUUGGGGAUGGAUGUGAGAUUGCCGUUUGGUUGGAAUUGGCACAAAGGCAUUCGGUUCGGGUUUAGCCCACAAAAUGGUAAUGGAAUCAUGGACUGUAAAAGCUCGAGGAAGGAGCUUGGCAAUUUUUGGCCUUCAGGAACCUGACCCUUUAAACACCAACUUGGCCCAUCUAUUGUGGAUCCAUGUUUCAGCAUUUUGUCUGAUUUAUGCCAUAAUUUAGUGAAAGAUCAAAAAAGGGAUAGGCUUAUCGCCUUAUCCAGCUACAAUGUCUAUGGCACCACAAAAAU
RNAcentral lists this unclassified non-coding RNA (301 nucleotides) under Hevea brasiliensis (rubber tree). The record is from RNAcentral. Lineage: Eukaryota; Viridiplantae; Streptophyta; Magnoliopsida; Malpighiales; Euphorbiaceae.